AAACCAACAGGGAUUGCCCUAGUACGGCGAGUGAAGCGGCAACAGCUCAAAUUUGAAAUCUGGCCUCGGCCCGAGUUGUAAUUUGCAGAGGAAGCUUUAGGCGCGGCACCUUCUGAGUCCCCUGGAACGGGGCGCCAUAGAGGGUGAGAGCCCCGUAUAGUUGGAUGCCUAGCCUGUGUAAAGCUCCUUCGACGAGUCGAGUAGUUUGGGAAUGCUGCUCAAAAUGGGAGGUAAAUUUCUUCUAAAGCUAAAUACCGGCCAGAGACCGAUAGCGCACAAGUAGAGUGAUCGAAAGAUGAAAAGCACUUUGAAAAGAGGGUUAAAUAGCACGUGAAAUUGUUGAAAGGGAAGCGCUUGUGACCAGACUUGCGCCGGGCGGAUCAUCCGGUGUUCUCACCGGUGCACUCCGCCCGGCUCAGGCCAGCAUCGGUUCUCGCGGGGGGAUAAAGGCCCUGGGAACGUAGCUCCUCCGGGAGUGUUAUAGCCCAGGGCGCAAUGCCCUCGCGGGGACCGAGGUUCGCGCAUCUGCAAGGAUGCUGGCGUAAUGGUCAUCAGCGACCCGUCUUGAAACACGGACCAAGGAGUCAAGGUUUUGCGCGAGUGUUUGGGUGUAAAACCCGCACGCGUAAUGAAAGUGAACGUAGGUGAGAGCUUCGGCGCAUCAUCGACCGAUCCUGAUGUUUUCGGAUGGAUUUGAGUAGGAGCGUUAAGCCUUGGACCCGAAAGAUGGUGAACUAUGCUUGGAUAGGGUGAAGCCAGAGGAAACUCUGGUGGAGGCUCGCAGCGGUUCUGACGUGCAAAUCGAUCGUCAAAUCUGAGCAUGGGGCGAAAGAC
RNAcentral lists this ribosomal RNA (834 nucleotides) under Parachaetomium longiciliatum. RNAcentral describes it as "Chaetomium longiciliata eukaryotic LSU rRNA". It matches the Rfam family "Eukaryotic large subunit ribosomal RNA", at positions 62 to 931 of the family's 3401-position model. Lineage: Eukaryota; Fungi; Ascomycota; Sordariomycetes; Sordariales; Chaetomiaceae. The record is from RNAcentral.